GUAGGUGGCAAGCGUUGUCCGGAAUUAUUGGGCGUAAAGCGCGCGCAGGCGGUUCUUUAAGUCUGAUGUGAAAGCCCACGGGCUCAACCGUGGAGGGUCAUUGGAAACUGGAGAACUUGAGUACAGAAGAGGAAAGCGGAAUUCCACGUGUAGCGGUGAAAUGCGUAGAGAUGUGGAGGAACACCAGUGGCGAAGGCGGCUUUCUGGACUGUAACUGACGCUGAGGCGCGAAAGCGUGGGGAGCAAACAGGGUUAGAUACCCUGGUAGUCCACGCCGUAAACGAUGAGUGCUAAGUGUUAGGGGGUUUCCGCCCCUUAGUGCUGCAGCUAACGCAUUAAGCACUCCGCCUGGGGAGUACGACCGCAAAGGUUGA
RNAcentral lists this ribosomal RNA (374 nucleotides) under uncultured organism. RNAcentral's name for it is "partial 16S ribosomal RNA". It matches the Rfam family "Bacterial small subunit ribosomal RNA", at positions 527 to 897 of the family's 1533-position model. The record is from RNAcentral.